GAUGAAGAACGUAGCGAAAUGCGAUAAGUAAUGUGAAUUGCAGAAUUCAGUGAAUCAUCGAAUCUUUGAACGCACAUUGCGCCCGCCAGUAUUCUGGCGGGCAUGCCUGUUCGAGCGUCAUUUCAACCAUCAAGCCCUGCUUGCGUUGGGGUCCUGCGGCUGCCCGCAGGCCCUGAAAACCAGUGGCGGGCUCGCUAGUCACACCGAGCGCAGUAAUACAUCUCGCUUUGGACGUGCGGCGGGUUCUUGCCGUUAAACACCCCCUUUUUACCAAGGUUGACCUCGGAUCAGGUAGGAAUACCCGCUGAACUUAAGCAUAUCAAUAAGCGGAGGA
RNAcentral lists this unclassified non-coding RNA (334 nucleotides) under soil metagenome. RNAcentral's name for it is "partial contains 5.8S ribosomal RNA, internal transcribed spacer 2, and large subunit ribosomal RNA". The stretch from base 1 to 120 matches the Rfam family "5.8S ribosomal RNA", at positions 35 to 154 of the family's 154-position model. The record is from RNAcentral.